AACGAACGCUGGCGGCAUACCUAACACAUGCAAGUCGAACGAGACCUUCGGGUCUAGUGGCGCACGGGUGCGUAACGCGUGGGAACCUGCCCUUAGGUUCGGAAUAACUCCCCGAAAGGGGUGCUAAUACCGGAUAAUGUCUUCGGACCAAAGAUUUAUCGCCUUUGGAUGGGCCCGCGUUGGAUUAGCUAGUUGGUAGGGUAAAAGCCUACCAAGGCGACGAUCCAUAGCUGGUCUGAGAGGAUGAUCAGCCACACUGGGACUGAGACACGGCCCAGACUCCUACGGGAGGCAGCAGUGGGGAAUAUUGGACAAUGGGCGAAAGCCUGAUCCAGCAAUGCCGCGUGAGUGAUGAAGGCCUUAGGGUUGUAAAGCUCUUUUACCCGGGAUGAUAAUGACAGUACCGGGAGAAUAAGCUCCGGCCAACUCCGUG
RNAcentral lists this ribosomal RNA (433 nucleotides) under uncultured bacterium. RNAcentral's name for it is "partial 16S ribosomal RNA". It matches the Rfam family "Bacterial small subunit ribosomal RNA", at positions 29 to 507 of the family's 1533-position model. The record is from RNAcentral.